AUCAACUUUCGAUGGUAGGAUAGAGGCCUACCAUGGUGGUAACGGGUAACGGGGUGUUAGGGCACGACACCGGAGAGGGAGCCUGAGAAACGGCUACCACAUCCAAGGAUGGCAGCAGGCGCGCAAAUUACCCAAUCCCGACACGGGGAGGUAGUGACAAUAAAUAACAAUACGGGGUUCUUUCGGAUUUCGUAAUUGGAAUGAGUACAAUUUAAAUCUCUUAACGAGGAACAAUUGGAGGGCAAGUCUGGUGCCAGCAGCCGCGGUAAUUCCAGCUCCAAUAGCGUAUAUUAAAGUUGUUGCAGUUAAAAAGCUCGUAGUUGAAUUUCGGGAUCAGUACGUUGGUCGUACCUCCGGUAUGCACUGAUGUUACUGGUUUCUACCUUCUGAAGAACUGUCAUGUCAUUAAUUUGGUGUGGCGGGGAAUCAGGACUGUUACUUUGAAAAAAUUAGAGUGUUUAAAGCAGGCUCGCGCUUGAAUACAUUAGCAUGGAAUAAUGAAAUAGGACGUUCGAUCCUAUUUUGUUGGUUUCUAGGAUUGACGUAAUGAUUAAUAGGGAUAGUUGGGGGCAUUAGUAUUCAAUUGUCAGAGGUGAAAUUCUUGGAUUUAUUGAAGACUAACUACUGCGAAAGCAUUUGCCAAGGAUGUUUUCAUUAAUCAAGAACGAAAGUUAGGGGAUCGAAGACGAUCAGAUACCGUCGUAGUCUUAACCAUAAACUAUGCCGACUAGGGAUCGGAUGAUGUUAUUUUUAAUGACUCAUUCGGCGCCUUACGGGAAACCAAAGUGUUUGGGUUC
RNAcentral lists this ribosomal RNA (797 nucleotides) under uncultured Glomeromycotina. RNAcentral describes it as "SSU rRNA". It matches the Rfam family "Eukaryotic small subunit ribosomal RNA", at positions 314 to 1114 of the family's 1831-position model. The record is from RNAcentral. Lineage: Eukaryota; Fungi; Glomeromycota.